Molecule: ribosomal RNA, 468 nt
Filed under: uncultured bacterium
Lineage: Bacteria
Description: partial 16S ribosomal RNA
Rfam family: Bacterial small subunit ribosomal RNA
Source: RNAcentral
GACGAACGCUGGCGGCGUGCUUAACACAUGCAAGUCGAACGGAAAGGCCCUGCUUUUGUGGGGUGCUCGAGUGGCGAACGGGUGAGUAACACGUGAGUAACCUGCCCUUGACUUUGGGAUAACUUCAGGAAACUGGGGCUAAUACCGGAUAGGAGCUCCUGCUGCAUGGUGGGGGUUGGAAAGUUACGGCGGUUGGGGAUGGACUCGCGGCUUAUCAGCUUGUUGGUGGGGUAGUGGCUUACCAAGGCUUUGACGGGUAGCCGGCCUGAGAGGGUGACCGGCCACAUUGGGACUGAGAUACGGCCCAGACUCCUACGGGAGGCAGCAGUGGGGAAUAUUGCACAAUGGGCGGAAGCCUGAUGCAGCAACGCCGCGUGCGGGAUGACGGCCUUCGGGUUGUAAACCGCUUUCGCCUGUGACGAAGCGUGAGUGACGGUAAUGGGUAAAGAAGCACCGGCUAACUACGUG